This 684-nucleotide unclassified non-coding RNA is filed under the name uncultured Prochlorococcus sp. RNAcentral describes it as "partial may contain 16S ribosomal RNA, 16S-23S ribosomal RNA intergenic spacer, and 23S ribosomal RNA". The stretch from base 1 to 97 matches the Rfam family "Bacterial small subunit ribosomal RNA", at positions 1437 to 1533 of the family's 1533-position model. Lineage: Bacteria; Bacillati; Cyanobacteriota; Cyanophyceae; Synechococcales; Prochlorococcaceae. The record is from RNAcentral.
ACCCUUGUGGAGGAGGACGCCGAAGGUGGGGCUAAUGACUGGGGUGAAGUCGUAACAAGGUAGCCGUACCGGAAGGUGCGGCUGGAUCACCUCCUAACAGGGAGACAACAAAAUGUUAAAUAUUAAUUUUGUCACCUUAGGUCGAUCGGUAUCUCACAUUCUUAUUUUUUAAGGAUUUUAUUUCCUAAGUUUUUUUCUAGGUCACACCCAUUACUUUCCCUGGGCCAUUAGCUCAGGUGGUUAGAGCGCACCCCUGAUAAGGGUGAGGUCCCUGGUUCAAGUCCAGGAUGGCCCAUAUCUCUAUGUUGGGGGUAUAGCUCAGUUGGUAGAGCGCCUGCUUUGCAAGCAGGAUGUCAGCGGUUCGAGUCCGCUUACCUCCACUGAUCACCACCUCUUCCAUAAAUUUACAGAUGGGAAAUGUUUUGAGUUGUGAUCAAAUUCUGAACGAAUCUAGCUUCCUAAUUAACCUUAUUAAGAUGCUGGACUCAUUGAAUUAAUUUCAUUGUUUUCAGAGAACCUUGACAACUGCAUAGAUUAUUUUUAAAGACAAUAAGCAUCUUUAAUGAUGCAGAUUUAUUAUUUGUGCGAAAGCAUUAAUAACAAUUCUAUUAAGCUGAUGCUUCAAUUUUUGAAGUUAUUGGUCAAGCUACAAAGGGCUCACGGAGGAUACCUAGGCACACAGAG